GUAAUAGCUAGCGUUACUGUUGCUGUGUUAUUGUUAGUUGGCUGUUAGUGAUCGAACGAACACAUUUUUUCCAAAUCGGCUUCAGGUGCUAGUUUCACAGAUAGUCAACACGUAUUUGCGAGUGCCAAAUGCAUAAUAAAUAGCAGCAUGCCUGACAUUUAACAAGCGUAAAUGCAAAAACGAGGCAAAGAGUAAAUAACAAACGGCUAGAAUGGAGGCGGCAGCAGCACAGAGCAACGGCGGCAGCAACAACCAAUACCGAUAAUGUCGAUACUACUGCUACAAAAUAUAAAUAUUUCAAUAUGCAGCGAGACCGUUAACUUUGGAAAAAGUCAUCCUCAGCCUAAAGCCAACUGACAAAUUACCGCAUUGCAACCGUGUUGACGCGCCGUUGACUCUUGCAGUUUUAAACAGCACUCUAUAUUAUAGAUAGACUUGUGCAUGGCUUGGUACAAAAAUGCAAAAUUAAACGUUUUCUGCCAGCAUGGAAUUGUCUUGCCCCGCACACGCAAAUAAUUCGAACGUUAAUAGAUGUCAUAUCAAAUGAAGUGUGCUUUACGCAUUCAUACACAUAACCAUGCUCAUGCUCAUAUGCAUGCUAUGCCUGCCUGCCUGCCUGCCUGCUUGGUUGCUUGCUUGCUUGCUUGCUUGCCUGUCUUCCUGCCUUCCUGCCUUCCAGCCUACCUGCCCUCCUGACUUGGCCGACUUGGCUGGCUAGCCGCCUGCUUAUUUUCUUAGCCGGAAGACUAUACAACAAGUAGGCACAUGUCGACUGAAUAUCCAUUAUUAUGCGCCUGCGUACACUAUGAAUCGGUACAAAAUAUUUUAU
Long non-coding RNA from Glossina fuscipes, 829 nucleotides. RefSeq lists it as uncharacterized. The record is from RefSeq and is a predicted model, not a curated record. The transcript is spliced from 3 exons. NCBI's taxonomy places the organism in Eukaryota, Metazoa, Arthropoda, Insecta, Diptera, Glossinidae.